Molecule: non-coding RNA, 96 nt
Filed under: Clostridium nigeriense
Lineage: Bacteria; Bacillati; Bacillota; Clostridia; Eubacteriales; Clostridiaceae
Description: SAM riboswitch (S box leader)
Rfam family: SAM riboswitch aptamer (S box leader)
About the family: The SAM riboswitch is found upstream of a number of genes which code for proteins involved in methionine or cysteine biosynthesis in Gram-positive bacteria. The SAM riboswitch acts at the level of transcription termination control. The predicted structure consists of a complex stem-loop region followed by a single stem loop terminator region.
Source: RNAcentral
UCUUAUUAAGAGUGGUGGAGGGACUGGCCCUAUGAAGCCCAGCAACCUACUUUAAAGUGUGGUGCUAAAUCCUACAGAGAAAUCUGAAAAAUAAGA